GUGGGGAAUAUUGGACAAUGGGCGAAAGCCUGAUCCAGCCAUGCCGCGUGUGUGAAGAAGGUCUUCGGAUUGUAAAGCACUUUAAGUUGGGAGGAAGGGCAGUAAGUUAAUACCUUGCUGUUUUGACGUUACCGACAGAAUAAGCACCGGCUAACUUCGUGCCAGCAGCCGCGGUAAUACGAAGGGUGCAAGCGUUAAUCGGAAUUACUGGGCGUAAAGCGCGCGUAGGUGGUUCGUUAAGUUGGAUGUGAAAGCCCCGGGCUCAACCUGGGAACUGCAUCCAAAACUGGCGAGCUAGAGUACGGUAGAGGGUGGUGGAAUUUCCUGUGUAGCGGUGAAAUGCGUAGAUAUAGGAAGGAACACCAGUGGCGAAGGCGACUACCUGGACUGAUACUGACACUGAGGUGCGAAAGCGUGGGGAGCAAACAGGAUUAGAAACCCUUAGUCC
Molecule: ribosomal RNA, 448 nt
Filed under: uncultured bacterium
Lineage: Bacteria
Description: partial 16S ribosomal RNA
Rfam family: Bacterial small subunit ribosomal RNA
Source: RNAcentral